RNAcentral lists this microRNA precursor (126 nucleotides) under Myotis lucifugus (little brown bat). Its description in RNAcentral is "mir-9193 microRNA precursor family". It matches the Rfam family "mir-9193 microRNA precursor family". The record is from Rfam by way of RNAcentral. Lineage: Eukaryota; Metazoa; Chordata; Mammalia; Chiroptera; Vespertilionidae.
CAUGCAGCAGUGGGGUCCCUCGGCCUGGCCUGUGCCCUCUCGCAAUUUGGGACCCCUUGGAGAAUGUCAGAGAGCUGGUUUCGGCCCGAUCCUGCAGGCCAGGCCGAGGGACCUCACUGGUGCAUG